GACGAACGCUGGCGGCGUGCUUAACACAUGCAAGUCGAACGGAAAGGCCCUGCUUUUGUGGGGUGCUCGAGUGGCGAACGGGUGAGUAACACGUGAGUAACCUGCCCUUGACUUUGGGAUAACUUCAGGAAACUGGGGCUAAUACCGGAUAGGAGCUCCUGCUGCAUGGUGGGGGUUGGAAAGUUUCGGCGGUUGGGGAUGGACUCGCGGCUUAUCAGCUUGUUGGUGGGGUAGUGGCUUACCAAGGCUUUGACGGGUAGCCGGCCUGAGAGGGUGACCGGCCACAUUGGGACUGAGAUACGGCCCAGACUCCUACGGGAGGCAGCAGUGGGGAAUAUUGCACAAUGGGCGGAAGCCUGAUGCAGCAACGCCGCGUGUGGGAUGACGGCCUUCGGGUUGUAAACCGCUUUCGCCUGUGACGAAGCGUGAGUGACGGUAAUGGGUAAAGAAGCACCGGCUAACCACGUG
RNAcentral lists this ribosomal RNA (468 nucleotides) under uncultured bacterium. Its description in RNAcentral is "partial 16S ribosomal RNA". It matches the Rfam family "Bacterial small subunit ribosomal RNA", at positions 28 to 507 of the family's 1533-position model. The record is from RNAcentral.